AUUGCGAUUCUCUGCUCGUGCGUUAUGGGGCGGAGACUUCGUGGCCUUGAAUGAAUGGCCUCCGAUCUCGCUCAACCGCCGCGAGCAUCGCGGCGGUGAACGGGCCACAACCAUUUCGAAGACCGCCUAUAAAAAAAAAAAAAAGAAAUAAAGAAAGAACCCCGAAAGGCUCACUCGUUCCGGGAACCCCCUCCUCGUUGUUCUCUCCUUAUCCUCGAAUCAGGAUGUUGCCAAAUCUGGGCACUCCGGCAACCUGAUGUUCGCCGCCGUCCUCGCUCAUGCUAGCUACCUCCGGUAUCCUCCGCCGGUGCCUCUCCUCGCCGGACUUCACCACCCGCACCCCCUACUCUCAUUAGUGAGGAGUCCGUCACAUGUGAAAUCACAAUUCUAAAUGGAUUAUACACGAGAGCUGUGGUUGUCUACAAUUUCAGAUCACCGCCAGUGAUAGAGGCGAGAGACACUUUUUGCAUCAAGGUUUCUUUUUGGGUAAAACAUACAUUUGUGUACAUAAACUGUUUUAGAAACUCUGUACUUUGUACCAUCUAGUAAGUUAUACUAGAAAUGUUAUAUAUGAAAGUUAACCAGUUUGACUGCCCUAUUAUGUGAUUAUGAGGUUUCGUGCUAUUGUGGACGGUAGUCUGCAAUAGCAUGGCCGUGUCACGGAUCAAGGUCCGAGUCGUGACAAGAAAAGCUGGAACCGCACAUGGACUCAUGCUUUCCCUCACUAACCCCUUAACAAUUAACUCAUCUUCUUGCCUUUGUAACUCUUUUUGCUCCUUAGAAUUCAUCCUAUAUACUGCCUUGUUUGGGAGACUAGCACCGGGUAUGAAGACAAUGCAAUGUUGUAUAUCUCUCAUAGGUGGUAGUCCAAAUGAAAUUUCAUCGAAAACAAUAUCAGAAAAUUUAUGGAACAAAGUUUUCAUGAUAAGGGGCAACUUACGCUUCUCCUCAUUCUCCUCUAGAACAAUAAGGGCAUAGGUUCUACAAGAUUCCACUAUGGCCUUUUCAAUUUCAAUCUUGGACAAAAGAUUAUUUCUCUCUCCUUUAGAAGGCUUGGGACUGCUCUCUAUCUUAACACAAUCUUCACCCCAUCCUUUAUAAAGGAAUACGUAUUUUUGAACCCAUCAUGUAUCACUUUUCUAUCAUAUUGCCAUGGAUGACCAAGUAAUAAGUGACAUGCAUCCAUAGGUAUAACAUCACAAAGCAACUCAUUGGAAUAUUUCUUGCCAAUAGAAAAUUCAACAAGGCACCGCUUAUGAGCCUUUACCUCAUUACUCUUGUGAAGCAAAGAAAGCUUGUAUGGUUGAGGAUGAUCUUCUGUUUUAAGCUUCAAUUUCUCCACCAUUGAUGCUGCCACAACAUUCUCAUAGCUCCCCCCAUCAAUGAUCACAUCACCGACUUUGCCAAGGGAAGUACAUCGUGUAUGAAAGAUGUUGCGAAGCCACUCGUCAUCCUCUACAUGUGCUGCGCUCAUGCUCCUACAAACCACCAGAGAUUCUCCUUAAUCGGCAUAAACCACUUCCUCUUCUUCUACCUCAUCAUAUGUUGGUUCAUCCAAAUCUUCGGCUUCGACUUCGUCUUCGCCUUCGUCUUCCUCCACAAGAGAAGUAAUUUUACAGUUACGACAAUCAGAUGCAAUAUGGCCUAUACCUUGGCAUUUGAAGCAUCGACGACCGAUAGGAGGUAAGGAACGACUAGAACCAGCUGUUAGACUUUCUGCCUUUGAAGGAAUUUUUGACAAGGACACCUUGGUGGAAUUAAUCUUGGAAAGUCCAGCAUUCCUUCAGUUAAAAGGAGUGUCUCGACUUGUAGGGCGAAAAAUCUCUCCCACGUGGCUCCUUCAAUUGCUUCUCCAUCUUUACUACAAGCUUGCAUAGCUCGUUAAAAAUCCAAUAAGGUUGCAAUUGUACCACGUCACAAAUUUCACAACGUAACCCGCCAAGAUAACAGGCUAUGGUUUGCUCAUCAGGCUCCACAACAUCACACCACAACAUUAGAUACUCAAACUCAGCAGUAUAAUUGAUAAGUGCUAAAAAUACAUAAAUUAACCAAUUUAUCAUAGCACUUAUCAUUAUUAUUAUGCACAUAUUUCAUUAUAAAAAGAUAUAUUUCCCUUCAACGUUGCAUUCUAGUAAUUUGUCAAAAGUAAUUCAGGUUUGUUUGAUUUUGGGUCGAAUUCUACGUAUGCAGGUUGGGUCAAACCCAUCAUCUGGUUCAUAACCAUGAAGCCUGAUCACGCUAGAGCACACGUUGCAACCAAUCCGAGUCCCUCUCUAGAGCCCGUUCAAAGAACAAAGCCGGGAUCUCCCGCGCCUCACGAAUCAGUUUCUCAUCCCAUGAAGCAUGCUCUUAUCCCCUCAUGAAUCCAGCCUUACCCCUUGCUUCGGAACAAAGUCUCUAGUGUCCACAUCCCAUGUUGUUCUCAUACCUUCCACGUCAUUCCUCUUC
Molecule: non-coding RNA, 2448 nt
Organism: Phoenix dactylifera (date palm)
Lineage: Eukaryota; Viridiplantae; Streptophyta; Magnoliopsida; Arecales; Arecaceae
Source: RefSeq, a predicted model, not a curated record